Molecule: transfer RNA, 73 nt
Filed under: Chloroflexota bacterium
Lineage: Bacteria; Bacillati; Chloroflexota
Description: Chloroflexi bacterium (anaerobic digester metagenome) tRNA-Pro
Rfam family: tRNA
About the family: Transfer RNA (tRNA) molecules are approximately 80 nucleotides in length.
Source: RNAcentral
CGGGGUGUAGCGCAGUUGGUAGCGCGCAGCGUUUGGGACGCUGAAGUCGGAGGUUCGAAUCCUCUCGCCCCGA